This 122-nucleotide non-coding RNA is filed under the name Citrobacter koseri. Its description in RNAcentral is "TPP sequence". It matches the Rfam family "TPP riboswitch aptamer (THI element)". From Rfam's summary of the family: Vitamin B(1) in its active form thiamin pyrophosphate (TPP) is an essential coenzyme that is synthesised by coupling of pyrimidine and thiazole moieties in bacteria. The record is from RNAcentral. RNAcentral also lists the same sequence under 1 other name. Lineage: Bacteria; Pseudomonadati; Pseudomonadota; Gammaproteobacteria; Enterobacterales; Enterobacteriaceae.
CCGUCCUCAACGGGGUGCUGAUAAACAUACGCAAAACCAUUCGUGAAGUGUAUGGGCUGAGAAAAUACCCGUCGAACCUGAUCCGGAUAACGCCGGCGAAGGGAUUUGAGACUGCUUCUCAA